UUUAAUAGCGCAGUGUAUGUG
RNAcentral lists this unclassified non-coding RNA (21 nucleotides) under Dictyostelium discoideum. Lineage: Eukaryota; Evosea; Eumycetozoa; Dictyosteliales; Dictyosteliaceae. The record is from RNAcentral.